RNAcentral lists this transfer RNA (125 nucleotides) under Exutisphaerella laricina CBS 326.52. RNAcentral describes it as "tRNA-Und (NNN) (tRNA-Und-NNN-1-1)". The record is from RNAcentral. Lineage: Eukaryota; Fungi; Ascomycota; Dothideomycetes; Mycosphaerellales; Mycosphaerellaceae.
GCUGCCCUGGUGUAGUUGGUUGUGCGUCAGCUCUAGUCUCGAUGGUUUCCAGUUCGCUAAUAACGAUGAUAGAUCACGUCAGUCUAACACACUGAAGGUCGCCGGUUCAAGUCCGGCGGGCAGUA